Molecule: transfer RNA, 73 nt
Filed under: Candidatus Magasanikiibacteriota bacterium
Lineage: Bacteria; Candidatus Magasanikiibacteriota
Description: tRNA-Lys
Rfam family: tRNA
About the family: Transfer RNA (tRNA) molecules are approximately 80 nucleotides in length. Their secondary structure includes four short double-helical elements and three loops (D, anti-codon, and T loops).
Source: RNAcentral
GGAUCGGUAGCUCAGUCGGUAGAGCAGUGGACUCUUAAUCCAACGGUCGCGGGUUCGAUCCCCGCCCGAUCCA